Molecule: ribosomal RNA, 496 nt
Filed under: uncultured bacterium
Lineage: Bacteria
Description: partial 16S ribosomal RNA
Rfam family: Bacterial small subunit ribosomal RNA
Source: RNAcentral
AUGCACGCUGGCGGCGUGCCUAAUACCUGCAAGUCGCGCGAACAGACGAGGAGCUUGCUCCUCUGACGUUAGCGGCGGACGGGUGAGUAACACGUGGAUAACCUACCUAUAAGACUGGGAUAACUUCGGGAAACCGGAGCUAAUACCGGAUAAUAUAUUGAACCGCCUGGUUCAUUAGUGAAAGACGGUUUUGCUGUCACUUAUAGAUGGAUCCGCGCCGCAUUAGCUAGUUGGUAAGGUAACGGCUUACCAAGGCAACGAUGCGUAGCCGACCUGAGAGGGUGAUCGGCCACACUGGAACUGAGACACGGUCCAGACUCCUACGGGAGGCAGCAGUAGGGAAUCUUCCGCAAUGGGCGAAAGCCUGACGGAGCAACGCCGCGUGAGUGAUGAAGGUCUUCGGAUCGUAAAACUCUGUUAUUAGGGAAGAACAAAUGUGUAAGUAACUAUGCACGUCUUGACGGUACCUAAUCAGAAAGCCACGGCUAACUACGUG